GUGCUUACUUUGGCAGCACAUAUACUAAAAUUGGAACGAUACAGAGAAGAUUAGCGCAAGGAUGACACGCAAAUUCGUGAAGUGUUCCAUAUUUUC
Molecule: small nuclear RNA, 96 nt
Organism: Ursus americanus (American black bear)
Lineage: Eukaryota; Metazoa; Chordata; Mammalia; Carnivora; Ursidae
Source: Ensembl